GGUCAGGCUGAAGACCUUACCCGAUUUAGCUGAGAGGUGGUGCAUGGCCGUCGUCAGUUCGUACUGUGAAGCAUCCUGUUAAGUCAGGCAACGAGCGAGACCCACGUCCACAGUUGCCAGCAUACCCUCCGGGGUGAUGGGUACACUGUGGAGACCGCCGCUGCUAAAGCGGAGGAAGGAGUGGGCAACGGUAGGUCAGUAUGCCCCGAAUCUCCCGGGCUACACGCGGGCUACAAUGGUUGGUACAAUGGGCAUCUACCCCGAAAGGGGAAGGAAAUCUCUUAAAGCCAAUCGUAGUUCGGAUUGAGGGCUGCAACUCGCCCUCAUGAAGCUGGAAUCCGUAGUAAUCGCGUUUCAACAGAACGCGGUGAAUACGUCCCUGCUCCUU
This 388-nucleotide ribosomal RNA is filed under the name uncultured Methanosaeta sp. RNAcentral describes it as "bacterial SSU rRNA". It matches the Rfam family "Archaeal small subunit ribosomal RNA", at positions 952 to 1338 of the family's 1478-position model. Lineage: Archaea; Methanobacteriati; Methanobacteriota; Methanomicrobia; Methanotrichales; Methanotrichaceae. The record is from RNAcentral.